RNAcentral lists this ribosomal RNA (492 nucleotides) under uncultured bacterium. Its description in RNAcentral is "partial 16S ribosomal RNA". It matches the Rfam family "Bacterial small subunit ribosomal RNA", at positions 29 to 507 of the family's 1533-position model. The record is from RNAcentral.
AGUGAACGCUGGCGGUAGGCCUAACACAUGCCAGUCGAACGGCAGCACAGUAAGAGCUUGCUCUUACGGGUGGCGAGUGGCGGACGGGUGAGGAAUACAUCGGAAUCUACUUUUUCGUGGGGGAUAACGUAGGGAAACUUACGCUAAUACCGCAUACGACCUACGGGUGAAAGCAGGGGAUCUUCGGACCUUGCGCGAUUGAAUGAGCCGAUGUCGGAUUAGCUAGUUGGCGGGGUAAAGGCCCACCAAGGCGACGAUCCGUAGCUGGUCUGAGAGGAUGAUCAGCCACACUGGAACUGAGACACGGUCCAGACUCCUACGGGAGGCAGCAGUGGGGAAUAUUGGACAAUGGGCGCAAGCCUGAUCCAGCCAUACCGCGUGGGUGAAGAAGGCCUUCGGGUUGUAAAGCCCUUUUGUUGGGAAAGAAAAGCAGCAGGUUAAUACCCCGCUGUUCUGACGGUACCCAAAGAAAAAGCACCGGCUAACUUCGUG